AGAGUUUGAUCCUGGCUACAGAACGAACGCUGGCGGCAUGCCUAACACAUGCAAGUCGAACGGGAUCCGGACUUCGGUCCGGUGAGAGAGGCGGACGGGUGAGUAACACGUGGGAACCUGCCUUUGGUUCGGGAUAACCGCGGGAAACUGCGGCUAAUACCGAAUGCCCUCGAGAGAGGAAAGAUUUAUCGCCAGAAGAGGAGCCCGCGUCCGAUUAGGUAGUUGGUGGGGUAAAGGCCUACCAAGCCGACGAUCGGUAGCUGGUCUGAGAGGAUGAUCAGCCACACUGGGACUGAGAUACGGCCCAGACUCCUACGGGAGGCAGCAGUGGGGAAUAUUGGACAAUGGGGGCAACCCUGAUCCAGCAAUGCCGCGUGAGUGAUGAAGGCCUUAGGGUUGUAAAGCUCUUUUGCCAGGGAAGAUGAUGACUGUACCUGGAGAAUAAGCCCCGGCUAACUUCGUG
RNAcentral lists this ribosomal RNA (463 nucleotides) under uncultured bacterium. Its description in RNAcentral is "bacterial SSU rRNA". It matches the Rfam family "Bacterial small subunit ribosomal RNA", at positions 8 to 507 of the family's 1533-position model. The record is from RNAcentral.